CGCGGCCUAUCAGCUUGUUGGUGGGGUAACGGCCUACCAAGGCAUUGACGGGUAGCUGGCGUGAGAGCGUGGCCAGCCACACUGGGACUGAGACACGGCCCAGACUCCUACGGGAGGCAGCAGUAGGGAAUCUUGCGCAAUGGGCGAAAGCCUGACGCAGCGACGCCGCGUGAGGGAUGAAGGCUUUCGGGUUGUAAACCUCUUUCAGCAGGGACGAAGCGAAAGUGACGGUACCUGCAGAAGAAGCCCCGGCUAACUACGUGCCAGCAGCCGCGGUAAUACGUAGGGGGCAAGCGUUAUCCGGAUUUAUUGGGCGUAAAGAGCUCGUAGGCGGCCGGUCGCGUCGGAUGUGAAAGCUCGGGGCUUAACCCUGAGAGGCCAUUCGAUACGGAUCGGCUAGAGGUAGGUAGGGGAAAGUGGAAUUCCUGGUGUAGCGGUGAAAUGCGCAGAUAUCAGGAGGAACACCGGUGGCGAAGGCGGCUUUCUGGGCCUUACCUGACGCUGAGGAGCGAAAGCUGGGGGAGCGAACAGGAUUAGAUACCCUGGUAGUCCCAGCCGUAAACGUUGGGUGCUAGGUGUGGGGAGGUCUUCAACCCUCUCCGUGCCGAAGCUAACGCAUUAAGCACCCCGCCUGGGGAGUACGG
This 644-nucleotide ribosomal RNA is filed under the name uncultured Actinomycetes bacterium. RNAcentral's name for it is "bacterial SSU rRNA". It matches the Rfam family "Bacterial small subunit ribosomal RNA", at positions 232 to 885 of the family's 1533-position model. Lineage: Bacteria; Bacillati; Actinomycetota; Actinomycetes. The record is from RNAcentral.